This 69-nucleotide transfer RNA is filed under the name Scinax sp. KAV35. Its description in RNAcentral is "tRNA-Val". It matches the Rfam family "tRNA". From Rfam's summary of the family: Transfer RNA (tRNA) molecules are approximately 80 nucleotides in length. Their secondary structure includes four short double-helical elements and three loops (D, anti-codon, and T loops). Lineage: Eukaryota; Metazoa; Chordata; Amphibia; Anura; Hylidae. The record is from RNAcentral.
CAAAACGUAGCUUAAUCAAAGCAUCCCGCUUACACCGAGAACAUAUCUGUUGAACCCAGAUCGCUUUGA